GGGAUAUCUUUCCCAUUUAUUUUCUUCUCCCAACGAUGGUGGCUAAAUACUCGGGCCAGCCACCUACGAUGGCUCCUAGUGGCAGUAAGGCUAUGGCCCUGGCAAUGGCUACUAUGGCGAUUGGCAAAGCAAAGAAGAAAAUAGGGACCAUCCUGUUCAAGCCAACAUGAUGGCGAUUCGGUGGCUUGCCGGACUAAUUCAAGCAUCAGUAAUGAGAAGGCCGGG
This 225-nucleotide long non-coding RNA is filed under the name Elaeis guineensis (African oil palm). RNAcentral describes it as "long non-coding RNA (EGUI_LNC064391)". Lineage: Eukaryota; Viridiplantae; Streptophyta; Magnoliopsida; Arecales; Arecaceae. The record is from RNAcentral.